Molecule: transfer RNA, 72 nt
Filed under: Candidatus Woesearchaeota archaeon
Lineage: Archaea; Nanobdellati; Candidatus Woesearchaeota
Description: tRNA-Thr
Rfam family: tRNA
About the family: Transfer RNA (tRNA) molecules are approximately 80 nucleotides in length. Their secondary structure includes four short double-helical elements and three loops (D, anti-codon, and T loops). Further hydrogen bonds mediate the characteristic L-shaped molecular structure. tRNAs have two regions of fundamental functional importance: the anti-codon, which is responsible for specific mRNA codon recognition, and the 3' end, to which the tRNAs corresponding amino acid is attached (by aminoacyl-tRNA synthetases). tRNAs cope with the degeneracy of the genetic code in two manners: having more than one tRNA (with a specific anti-codon) for a particular amino acid; and 'wobble' base-pairing, i.e. permitting non-standard base-pairing at the 3rd anti-codon position.
Source: RNAcentral
GCCCUUGUAGCUUAGCGGUAUAGUGGCUGCCUCGUAAGCAGCAGGUCGUGGGUUCGAUUCCCACCAAGGGCU